Molecule: long non-coding RNA, 4548 nt
Organism: Sapajus apella (tufted capuchin)
Lineage: Eukaryota; Metazoa; Chordata; Mammalia; Primates; Cebidae
Exons: 3
Source: RefSeq, a predicted model, not a curated record
CCUCAUUUUACCCAGCUCCUAUUUAAGAUGGAGUUGCUCUGGUUCACAUGCUUCUGACAUUAGCAUGUCUAUAAAAGUUCUACUUUUUCAGCAUUCAGUGACCAGGUAAAAUGGCCCCUCUGGGAAACCUUCUCUAACUCCACUAUGCAAGUAGGCACUUCCUUUUUUGUACAUCUUUGGUUGUUUUUCUUUUAGAGACCAAUAUACCUCUACAGUUGAUGGUUUUAGGCCAAACCAAGUGUGCCAAAAGAAAGUGAAAAUACCUGUUGUUAUUUUUCUACUCACUCUAGGAUGAAAAAAUGGUCUCUGCGUUUGUUUCUGCCUCACAGAAUGGAGUCCCAAUUCAGGUCCUCUGCUCCAGGAAUUCAGUCACCAUAUGUGGAAGAAGAGAGAGAUUAUGCCUUGGCCCACUGCAUUUGAUGAUGUCCUUGCCAGUUACGGAUUGGCAAAUGGAAAGUGUCAUAUACCAGGCAACUUGAUGCAAAGCAGAAGAAAGCAUGAUCUCUUCAAUCAAGCAGCUUUGAGUCUCAUGGGAGACACAGAUACAAAAUUAUUGCACAAAGUAAUAAAUACUACUAAGCUGAACCACAUGAAAUUGCCAUUUUUGUAGGUCAAAAAGAGUCAACCGCUGGCAAUUUCUUAUAAAUUCUGUGAAUGGAGAGAGGUCGGGCAAGUGGCUUUAUACCUUCCAGUUAUAUUAGCUUUGUAAUAGAAAGUUUCUUGCAGUGGAAUAUCAAGCACUGGGAUAGUUCUAAGUGACAUGAAAUGAUACGAUGCUAGUGGGAAGAGCCUUUGAUUUUCCUGGGCUGUUAUUUUUUAGGGACAAACAACUGAGUUAAGUUGCUAAAAAUUAUAGUGAGCUUUCUUAGAGCCAGUUGAGAGUCAUUUACAGGGAGAUAAUGGAAACCAGGAGAGUGGGUGUGCUUGGAAAGGGAGAUGCCAAGAAAGAGAAGUGAAUGCUUUAUGUAGUGGGCGAGGAGAGCCAGACAGAGGAAGCCAGAAAGAGAAACAAAAUAGUACAGAUUCUGCAGAAUCAAAUGAGAAAAGAGCUCCAAGGAUGCAGUAUGCAGGAGUAUUACAGAAUGAAUAGAGAUGUGGACAAUUAACAAAGGCUAUCGGAUUUGUCCAUAGGAGGGCAUCGGUAACCUGAGGGCAUGUUUUUUGGAGUGGUCAGAGCAGAAACCCGAUUGUGAAGGAUAGGAGCAAGGCAGCGUGCACAGUGGUUUUAAUAACAGCCAUGGGUCCUGGGGUCAAACAGUCCAGGUUUACUUUCUUGUUCCACAGCUAAGAAGAUACGUGACUUUAGGCAUGUUACCAUCUCCAUGCUUCCCUAUCCUCAUGUACAAAAUGAGGAAAACGACAAUAGCCCCUUUUGUGAUUGAUCGCUCUAAUGGAUACAAUUCUUCACAAUUCCUCAUAUCCACGUCUUUUGUCAUGUAACCUUGCAGUACCCUUUCAUUCUGACUCUGAGCUCAGCUUGUUGACUUUUUUUGACCAAUAGAAUGAGGUAGAAGUGACACCAAGCCAGUUCUGACCACAAGAAGCCUUCUGUCCUUCUUUUUGCUUGCUCUCUUGCCCCUCUGCCAUCACCUGGAGAAUGUAUUCAGAUGAGCCUGCUGAAAGAAGAGAGGCAUAUUAGGGUAAAAUUGAGUCUCCCAGGUAGUCUCAGCUGGGGCCAGCCUUGAUCAGCUGACACCCAGUAUAUAAGUGAGCCAGUCACAAUCAGCAGAGUCACCCAGCUGACUCCAGAUACAUGAGCAACAAAUGUCUAUUAUUGAAUGCACUGAGACUUUGUUGUUGCUUGUCAGGCAGCAAUGCUGUGCAAACAGAUAACCAAAAUACUGGUUUGUUGCAGGAUUAAGUGAGAUAGCAUAUGUAGACUACUUUGAAUAGUGCCUAACACAUAGUAACUGCUUAAACAUGUGCAACUCAUUCUAUCAUUUUCAGAGAUAUUGAUUGUUUUUCUGGGGCCACCCAGGGACAGCUGAAAUACAAAAGUAGCCUAUAUAGGCUAAUCAUUUGGUGUUUCUGCAAACUGAUAUUUUUUCCAUCUUUCUCAUUGCUUAUUUAGUGAGGAAGGAAGAAAACUGGAUUCCUUUGAAUAAUUUUUGGAGCCAAAACUGAUUUACUUAGUAAGCCAUUUUUACUAACUGAAACAGAGCUGAUGUUCUAGAAAAUAGAAUGGCAAAUUAUCUGCCACAUUUCAGAAUUACACUUCUUCUUUAGUGUUCUUUUGUGGUUUCCAAACAAGAAAAUUUCUGGGGCAGUAUAUUAAAGAGUGUAAAACUCAGAACAUAAAACAAACCUCUCAUUUCCAGUAAAUGACACUAUACCAUGCAUUAUUCAGUUUUGGAAUUUCAGCUGAGUGGGACUUCUGACUCUUAGCUGACUGACUACAUGUUGAAUCAUAAAAAUACUUGACAAAAGUAGGAUGCACUCACCAGGAAGUUUUCCUCCUUCUUCUCUUUAUUAUUAUUCCCACAUAAAAUCAAGGUCUGGCUCUGUAGAAGCAACAUAUUUUUGUUUCAUUUUAUUGCACUGGAGGUUUAGUAUUCCUUGGAUAAAGCAAAACUCAUGGACACCAUUACAACUAGCCCAUGCCUUGCUUGGCUUUUGGGAUGUGGAGAAGCUGCAUAAUCAGGUUACCCUUUUGUAAAUGUGUCUACAAUUGCUGGCAUAAAGAAUCAGGUGGAACAAUUUGGCAUCUGAUAUAAGCAUCUUGUUUUACAGUUGGAAAAGAUCACCUGGUCUAGAAUAAAAAAUGUAAAAAGUAAGUUCUAUCAAACCAAAGGUUUAGAACCCUCUAAAUCCAGCCCCAGCUUUUUGUCCCUGCCUUUUCUUCCAUGAUUUAUUGAAGCAAAGCACAACGGGCUAUUAACUUUUCCCUGAGAAAUAAACAUCAACCACAAGAGCACACUAAAGUUCAGGAGUUUACGCCCCAGACAGGUUUGGGCUGAUUAUCCAACAAGCUUCCCUCCCUUUCAACUGUCCUCACAAUGCUGAGAGCCCUACUGACCAGGAGUCUUUUGAAUCUUAGCUGACUACUGAUUGCACGCUGAGUCCGAAAAAUGCUUGACAGAAAUAGAAUGCACUCUCUAGGAGGUUUUCCUCCUCCUCCUCUUCCUCUUCUUCUACUCCUCCUCCUCUCCUUCCUCCUACUCCACCUUCUCGCAUGAAAUCAAGGUCUGGCUCUGCAAAAUCAAUGUGUAUUUUUUCAGUUUACUGCAGUGAAGUUUUAGUAUUCCUUAGGUUAAACAAGAGCUCUGAAUACUUUUUACAAUUAACCCACUUCUUGUUUGGUUUUGGGGCCAAGCAAAUCAUUUGUACUUAUCCAAGUGUAAGGAGUAGCAUCUCAUCAGUAAGUCCCUCAUCCUAUUUCACUGGGUUCAAAUUCCAGCUCUACCAUGUACUAGCUGUGUGAUCUUGGGAAAAUUAUGCAAAUGCUUUCUCAUCAAUAAAAUGAGGAUGAUACUGCAUAAUACUUUAUGGUUUUGAGAAAAAUUCAAAUCAGUAAUUCAUGUAAUGGAGUAGUCCAGUUUCUGCUAAUAGUCAGUGCCCAUUUUUUUUAUUCAACAAAUAUUUAUACAACAGAAACUGUUGUAGGAAUUUAACAAAACAAAUAAAGAAUGACAUAGGUCUUACAUUCUAGCCAGGGAGGCAGACAAGCAACCGUAAAUCAAUAAAAUGGGUAAAUUUCAGAGUAUGUUCCACAAUGAUAAAUGAUAUGAAACAAAAGGAAAAGUAAUACAUGGUGAGAGGGAUGGGAGAGGUGAGUGAAGUGUGGGGAAAGUUACAGUACUGAAUAGAAUAGGAAAGCCUUAUUAAGGUGGGACUGGAGCAAAACUCAAGGGAGGUGAGGAAGUAAGCUGAGCAGGUAACCAGUGGAAGAACAUUUUGAGCUUGAGCCAAGCCCAAGUGUAGGGGCUCAGAGGAUUAGAAGGAGAGCCAGCAAAGAGUGGCAGAAGAUGAAGUCAAUAGGAUAAUAGUUUUCAAUCAGGUGGGACCCUGAAAGCUAGUCUAAGAGCUUUAGUUUCCACUCUGAGCGACAUGUAGAAUGAUUGAAAGGACUUUGGGCAAAGGAGUGGCAUAAUCUGACUGACAUUUUAAGGGGCUCAGCCUGGCUCUCUGUUGAAAAUAGAUUGUAGGGGAGAAAAGCAAAAAUCAAAAAGACCUGUUGCUACUGUUGUACCUUAGGUGAUGGAUGACGGCAGCUCAGGUUGGAGUCUGGGGGUAGGAGUAGGGAGAAUAAAAGAAGGAUAGCCUUGGAGAUGGUGAGAAGUGGUCAAAUUUGAGAUGUGCUUUGCAAACCUAAUUAAAUACUGUGAGAAAUUCGAUAUGGAAUGUGAAAGAAUCAAGGCAUUAAGCCUGAGCAACUGAAAAGAUAGAGUUACCGUCUACUAGAACAAGGGAGGUUGUAUACAGGAAAAAGCGACAGUUCAGUCUUGUUACUUAAGAAACUUUAGCUACUUUUCUUAUUAUCACAUUCUGCCUCAAACUGUUAUAAACAUAUGUACCUGGGGUGGCUGGCAAGAUGGCCGAAUAGGAACA